GACAUGGUGGUUUAGUGGUUAGCAUGGCUGCUUUGCAUUUCCAGGGUUGGGGGUUCAAUUCCUGCCUCUGGCA
Pangasius djambal is the source of this 73-nucleotide non-coding RNA. Lineage: Eukaryota; Metazoa; Chordata; Actinopteri; Siluriformes; Pangasiidae. The record is from the annotation of a GenBank genome assembly.